RNAcentral lists this unclassified non-coding RNA (308 nucleotides) under Hevea brasiliensis (rubber tree). The record is from RNAcentral. Lineage: Eukaryota; Viridiplantae; Streptophyta; Magnoliopsida; Malpighiales; Euphorbiaceae.
AAAGACAUGAAAAAGAGAGAAGCACAAGAGAAGAUGGUCUGGGCCAAUCUCAAAGAGAAGCUAGCACUGGUUCCCACUGAGCCCGUUAUAUCAUCCAUGGCCUUUGUUGCAUGGAAUCUUCUUCCUCUGUUAUUAUUUCUUCUUGGAUUGCCUCCUCCUUCAGGCUCAUCUUAGCCCCUUCAGUUGCCACAAACUUUUCAUCACCUAAAAUCAACCCUGUAUUUCAAUUAUCCAAGAUUCAUCAAAAAAAAUAUGCCAAAGAUUUGAGUGACAUUCUUGGCCUUUUCUUGGAAAAACUAUGGAAGUGA